Molecule: ribosomal RNA, 254 nt
Filed under: uncultured bacterium
Lineage: Bacteria
Description: partial 16S ribosomal RNA
Rfam family: Bacterial small subunit ribosomal RNA
Source: RNAcentral
CACGUAGGGCGCGAGCGUUGUCCGGAAUUAUUGGGCGUAAAGAGCUCGUAGGCGGCCUGUUGCGUCCGUUGUGAAAGCCCGGGGCUUAACCCCCGGGUCGGCAGUGGAUACGGGCAGGCUAGAGGUAGGUAGGGGAGAAUGGAAUUCCCGGUGUAGCGGUGAAAUGCGCAGAUAUCGGGAGGAACACCGGUGGCGAAGGCGGUUCUCUGGGCCUUACCUGACGCUGAGGAGCGAAAGCGUGGGGAGCGAACAGG